Molecule: ribosomal RNA, 465 nt
Filed under: Vreelandella stevensii
Lineage: Bacteria; Pseudomonadati; Pseudomonadota; Gammaproteobacteria; Oceanospirillales; Halomonadaceae
Description: partial 16S ribosomal RNA
Rfam family: Bacterial small subunit ribosomal RNA
Source: RNAcentral
CCUACGGGGGGCAGCAGUGGGGAAUAUUGGACAAUGGGGGGAACCCUGAUCCAGCCAUGCCGCGUGUGUGAAGAAGGCCCUCGGGUUGUAAAGCACUUUCAGUGAGGAAGAACGCCUGGUGGUUAAUACCCAUCAGGAAAGACAUCACUCACAGAAGAAGCACCGGCUAACUCCGUGCCAGCAGCCGCGGUAAUACGGAGGGUGCGAGCGUUAAUCGGAAUUACUGGGCGUAAAGCGCUCGUAGGUGGCUUGAUAAGCCGGUUGUGAAAGCCCCGGGCUCAACCUGGGAACGGCAUCCGGAACUGUCAAGCUAGAGUGCAGGAGAGGAAGGUAGAAUUCCCGGUGUAGCGGUGAAAUGCGUAGAGAUCGGGAGGAAUACCAGUGGCGAAGGCGGCCUUCUGGACUGACACUGACACUGAGGUGCGAAAGCGUGGGUAGCAAACAGGAUUAGAUACCCUGGUAGUC